RNAcentral lists this ribosomal RNA (681 nucleotides) under Gracilibacillus sp. RNAcentral's name for it is "bacterial SSU rRNA". It matches the Rfam family "Bacterial small subunit ribosomal RNA", at positions 371 to 1042 of the family's 1533-position model. The record is from RNAcentral. Lineage: Bacteria; Bacillati; Bacillota; Bacilli; Caryophanales; Bacillaceae.
AUGGACGAAAGUCUGACGGAGCAACGCCGCGUGAACGAAGAAGGUUUUCGGAUCGUAAAGUUCUGUUGUUAGGGAAGAACAAGUACCGUUCGAAUAGGGCGGUACCUUGACGGUACCUAUCGAGGAAGCCCCGGCUAACUACGUGCCAGCAGCCGCGGUAAUACGUAGGGGGCAAGCGUUGUCCGGAAUUAUUGGGCGUAAAGCGCGCGCAGGCGGUUCUUUAAGUCUGAUGUGAAAUCUUGUGGCUCAACCACAAGCGGUCAUUGGAAACUGGGGAACUUGAGUACAGAAGAGGAGAGCGGAAUUCCACGUGUAGCGGUGAAAUGCGUAGAGAUGUGGAGGAACACCAGUGGCGAAGGCGGCUCUCUGGUCUGUAACUGACGCUGAGGUGCGAAAGCGUGGGGAGCGAACAGGAUUAGAUACCCUGGUAGUCCACGCCGUAAACGAUGAGUGCUAGGUGUUAGGGGGUUUCCGCCCCUUAGUGCUGCAGUUAACGCAUUAAGCACUCCGCCUGGGGAGUACGGCCGCAAGGCUGAAACUCAAAAGAAUUGACGGGGGCCCGCACAAGCGGUGGAGCAUGUGGUUUAAUUCGAAGCAACGCGAAGAACCUUACCAGGUCUUGACAUCUUUGGAUGUCCCUAGAGAUAGGGAGUUCCCUUCGGGGACCAAAUGACAGGUGGU